UGGUCUAGUGGUUAGUAUUUAGCACUUUCACUGCUAUGGCCCAGGUUCAAUUCCUGG
This 57-nucleotide transfer RNA is filed under the name Bos taurus (domestic cattle). It matches the Rfam family "tRNA", at positions 8 to 63 of the family's 71-position model. Rfam says of the family: Transfer RNA (tRNA) molecules are approximately 80 nucleotides in length. The record is from Rfam by way of RNAcentral. Lineage: Eukaryota; Metazoa; Chordata; Mammalia; Artiodactyla; Bovidae. RNAcentral also lists the same sequence under 3 other names.